This 497-nucleotide ribosomal RNA is filed under the name uncultured bacterium. RNAcentral's name for it is "partial 16S ribosomal RNA". It matches the Rfam family "Bacterial small subunit ribosomal RNA", at positions 28 to 507 of the family's 1533-position model. The record is from RNAcentral.
GAUGAACGCUGGCGGCGUGCCUAAUACAUGCAAGUCGAGCGAACAGACGAGGAGCUUGCUCCUUCGACGUUAGCGGCGGACGGGUGAGUAACACGUAGGUAACCUACCUAUAAGACUGGGAUAACUUCGGGAAACCGGAGCUAAUACCGGAUAAUAUUUCGAACCGCAUGGUUCGAUAGUGAAAGAUGGCUUUGCUAUAACUUAUAGAUGGACCUGCGCCGUAUUAGCUAGUUGGUAAGGUAACGGCUUACCAAGGCAACGAUACGUAGCCGACCUGAGAGGGUGAUCGGCCACACUGGAACUGAGACACGGUCCAGACUCCUACGGGAGGCAGCAGUAGGGAAUCGGCCGCAAUGGGCGAAAGCCUGACGGAGCAACGCCGCGUGAGUGAUGAAGGUCUUCGGAUCGUAAAACUCUGUUAUUAGGGAAGAACAAACGUGUAAGUAACUGUGCACGUCUUGACGGUACCUAAUCAGAAAGCCACGGCUAACUACGUG